Gorilla gorilla gorilla (western lowland gorilla) is the source of this 94-nucleotide microRNA precursor. Lineage: Eukaryota; Metazoa; Chordata; Mammalia; Primates; Hominidae. The record is from Ensembl.
UGGGGUGUCUGUGCUAUGGCAGCCCUAGCACACAGAUAUGCCCAGAUAAAGCCUGAACGUUGGGCGUAUCUGUGUGCUAGGGCUGCCAUAACAA